CUCAGGCGUUACUCGCUUUCGGUUUCUUCCGGACGAACGGACGCUGAAUACGUAUUGUUUCUGUUUAUUGUUUACUCUCAGUCGAUUUAACGACACAAACUGAGAACUGUUAGCCCGGCAACAAUGUUGGGAGAGGGCAGAGGGGUAUGCUCUUUGAAGUGGAUCUCCAUCCUCAGAUUUAUUUCUGGGAAAUGAGUUCUUGCCAAUCAGCGGGAAUAUUACGGGCAUUAUAAACAGCCGUCGCAGAAUUUCCCCAAUUGCGUUCUAAUUUCGCCCGUCUCUCGGCAGAAGGAUUCGAAAGAGCUACAGUUACCGUUCCCAGAAGGUGUGGCACCACAUAUGUACAUAUGUAUGUAUGUAUGCGUGACUAAUGUCGCAGGUGACGUGACGUCGAGGGACCUCCGGUCCCCAGAUUGGUUCGCCCAUGGAUGUAUGAAUUAUUAAUAGGACAAAAAUGUGUGUGGAUUCAAAAUUCUUUGCAAUUAUUUCGAUUCCCCCUCUCCCUCUCUCAACAGAGAGUCAAAUCAAUUAAAUUUGAUAUAAUUUGCCAACUGUUUUGGUUUUGUGGUUACAAAACAAUUUCUAUACGAAAUACAUACUUGAGUUUUGAAAUAUGAAA
Molecule: long non-coding RNA, 619 nt
Organism: Drosophila persimilis
Lineage: Eukaryota; Metazoa; Arthropoda; Insecta; Diptera; Drosophilidae
Exons: 3
Source: RefSeq, a predicted model, not a curated record